This 3725-nucleotide unclassified non-coding RNA is filed under the name Ooceraea biroi (clonal raider ant). RNAcentral describes it as "solute carrier family 35 member F5, transcript variant X4". Lineage: Eukaryota; Metazoa; Arthropoda; Insecta; Hymenoptera; Formicidae. The record is from RNAcentral.
GACCGUGUUAUCAUACGCGAUAAAAUUGACGUACCUGUUAUCACUAGCGCUUCACGAUGUAAGCGGACAUUACAACGUGUUAGCUCGUACGAUAGUUAUAUGAAUAUAGUGUGUGUUACCGGUACACAAUUGAUAAUUGUACGUUCAUUCUCUUGGAAGGUGUACGAGUAGUGGAAUCAAUAUCAGAUUCGUUAGCAACAGACAAUGGGAUGCGGGGCCAACGUCGAUUGGAGCCGGGCCCACAAACAGCCGGUUAGAAACUGCGUAUUGCAAAAACGAGUAGAUAAUAUGGACAUGAUGCCGUAAGUGAAAGGGACUAAGAAUGAGCUGUUCCGUGGAAUUACGCCAGCGUAGACAACAGGGGAUGGCGGAGGAUCCUCAUAAACUCGCGGCGAUGAUGAACAAAUCUCAAAGACUCGUACUGGGACUUUUGGUUUUACUAUUAGUCGAUAUAAUUUGGGUCUCUAGUUCUGAGCUUACCAAAUAUAUUUACAGAGAAGCAACAUUUGAAAAGCCAUUUUUUAGUACAUAUAUAAGGACAUCUAUGUUUACCCUUUACUUAUUUGGUCUGUGCUUUUGGCCAUCCUGGCGAGAACAAUGUAAUAAACCUGCAACAUACAUGUUCAUAGAUCCCAAUGUCGAAGAUGAUAAUUUUUAUUCGGAGGCUAAUACAAGUCUAAGCGAUCCAACAUUUGUUCCAAUAAAAACUCCGGAUCAUUGUGAUCGCUCAUCAGGUACGGAGAGCGAUGAUUCGUCUAUUCGAUCUGUAAGAUUUAGCAAAUUAGCAGAAGUGCGUCAUAUGUCGGAAAGCGAUGCCACGGAAGCUCUAUUGGCUCGACUCAGUUAUCAAGCAAGCGUGAGAGCAGGAGAACACGCAAGGCGACAAGCUAACAAAUUCUCUGUACAAAAAGUGGCUAAAAUAGCCCUCAUGUUUUGUGUAUUUUGGUUCAUGGCGAAUUACACGUAUCAAAUAUCAUUAGAGCAAACUGAAGCUAGAAUCGUGACUAUAUUGUCCUCGAUGUCUAGUUUAUUCAUUUUAUUUCUUGCUGCCGUUUUCCCUAGUAAUGGAGGGGAUAAGUUUACAUUAUCUAAGUUAACCGCCGUAGUGAUUAGCAUCUUUGGACUAAUUUUAGUCGGUCUUUCAGAUUUGACUGUAGAAAGCAACAGCAUAUCAACAGGCGUAAUAUUAGCUCUAGUCAGUGCUUUCUUCUAUGCCGUAUAUAUCGUAUUUUUAAAAAGAAAAGUUGAUCACGAAGAUAAAAUGGAUAUACCAAUGUUUUUCGGCUUUGUGGGAAUAUUUACUUUAACGCUUCUGUGGCCUUUAUUUUUUAUUCUUCAUUAUGGUCGUUGGGAAGAGUUUGAAUGGCCCAGUAGUCAUCAAUGGACAUUCUUAAUUAUAAACGGCCUGAUUGGUACAGUUCUGAGUGAAGUUCUGUGGCUAUGGAAGCAUUCCAAUGCUUUUGGCAUUUCUGACGGUAUCUCUCCUGUCUUAUUACGAUAAUUGGGAUCCUGUUAUGGAUUUAAUGAAACGAUUUUACAUCUGGAUUUGUAAAAGAAAUGGCAGAUCUGCAAGGAUUCCAGAUCUUGAAGCAGAACAAACAGAAUCUUUGAUAGGAGUCGGUAGUGGCGAUCAUGAAGCAUAAUAAGACAAUAAUGAGAAAGGAUCGAAGAGAUAGUAAAAUGUCUUGCUUUACAUAAGUCAACAUAAUAAAAAAGAACUUAAUAAGUGGGGGAUACAUGCUAUAUGUAAGGGGUGGGUAAAAAAUAUUAAAUGAAGUAGUUUUUUUGUCCAUUUUCUAUAAGUGUCAUCAUCGAUGGCGAAUAUUUGUUUUUCUUUAAAAUAUUUGUUUCAAUGUCCAUUGUACAGAUGUGAGUGACGAUAGUCAAUGUUUCAUUUGUUUGUAUUUUUUAAUGCAUGUGUCUCGCUUUAUUUCACAUUAAAUAUCAUGAAAUAGUGUUACUGCCCGACAAAAAAUAUCUCUUUUUAAAACAAUAAUUAUCAUGAAUUAAUUUACAAACUAUAUUUUAUUUUUCAAGCUUAUUAUGCCUUUGAAACUUUGUUCUUAAAGAUUUAUUCCAUAAGUAAAUAUUGCUCUCGUAAAAGCUGUGUCAUCAAAAUCUGAUAUACAUAUAUUAUAACUAUUUCCAGAUUAUAUACUAUGAUUUUUGUUAUAUUCUAUUCUAUAAUUGGGUUUGAAGACAAAAUUCUUCAAUGUCUUCUCCGAAAUCUGUACAUAAUAUGUAUUAAGAGUUAAUUAAAAUCAAAGAAAUAUUUAUUUAUAAUGUUAAAGUUAUGCUAUUUCUAAUAGUAAUAUUUUUUAUGCUAUUAAGCUACAUUUUCUAACACAUUGAUAAUCAAUGAAUAAAUAAAUUAUUGAGGUUAUUUCAUUGCACGUUACAAGAAGCUUUCGAGAUGUAUCUAGUACAUUCUGUACUUAUCUUUAGUAUUUGUCACAUUUUAGAUAAAAUAUUACAAACUAUUUAAAACAUAGUUUUAAUAAGCAAAAAUGACAGAAAAAGAGAGAUGCUAACAUUUUGGACCAAUUAAAAGGUGAUAAUAAAUCAUCACCGGAAAUCAUCCAUAAUACGCGAAGAAUAAGAAAUUGAUAUGAGAUCAAAAUUCAAAUUUCAAUGAUAUGAAUAUUACGUCCUAAGCAUGUAAUUAAAAUAUUAGCUUACAUUCCGCUAUGAUUCCAUGAGUUAUUUCGAUUACAAAAAUUCUAUUGCAAAAUUACAUUCGUUUUUCUUCUACUUCUGAUAAUUUUGUUCUAUCCGCUGAUAAUUAAUGCGCACAAGUUUCACUAUAUUGUGUUCAAAUAUCAACAAAACUAUUAUGUUUAUAUAAAAUAGAAAUAUAUAGAAAUAUAUUAAAUGUGAGAACUGUGUAAACUGUGAAAUAAACCAUCGAUUUAUGGUUAAAUCAGCGUAGUAAACGUAGUAAAUCUUGAAUAAGAUGUUAAUUAUUUAAACAGAUGGACAUGUAACAUGUAAAGAGAAAUGAAAUAUGGUAUCUUUAUGGUAUCUUUAGCAACAGUUUAUUCAUGCCUCUCGUUUCUAUUUAUACAUAAAAUUGCGAUAUUCGUGUUAAACCUUUAAAAAAUUCGUGUAUCUUAAUCUCAUCAAAAUUAAAUAUAAACAAAAUAACCUUAACAGAAUCAACGUUAUUGCAUCUAUUGCAAAUCUAUUUCCUAAUUCUAAAUGUAUUUCGUAAGGAGCAUAUGUAACAAAUUAUUGUAAAAAUUAUUCUAGUUGCAUAGUGUUAAUGAUAGGAUGAAGAAAUGUUAAAAAGAAAGAUACAAGUAUCUUUGAAAAACAAAGGCAAAGAUCGAGACUAAUCAGUAGCAAUGUUAUAUUAACUAUAUAUGUGAUAUAACAAAUAGAAUGCGCGAGUAUAUUUUUAGGGUAAUAUAACGUAAUCCACUACAGAAAUAUCGCGCGCACGCGAUAUAUGAUAAUUAAUCUCUUGUUUAAUGUUAUAAUCAGACUUGAGAUUCAAUGUAUAUAUUACUUUACAUCGUGCAUGUAGGAAGAUUCCGCUUUUGACCAGGUCGAAUCUAAAGAUGUCCUUAUAAUAUUCGUAUAAAUUCGUAUAAAAUGUUUCGACGUAAGUUUAUAUACACGAAAUCUUCAAAAUGACACAGUCGGCAAUCUUUUCACAAAAGAGACUGGUUAUAACCAUAUUCGUGCUGUAUAUUCAAUGUAAAUAAAUUAUUAUGUUCUAAAAU